GACGAACGCUGGCGGCGUGCUUAACACAUGCAAGUGGAGCGACGAACCGGGCUUCGGCCCGGGGCAAAGCCGCGAACGGGUGAGUAACACGUGGGUAACCUGCCCCGAUGACCGGGACAACCCGAGGAAACUCGGGCUAAUACCGGAUGUGCUCGCAGCACAUCAGUGCAGCGAGUAAAGGAAGCUUCGGCCUCCGCAUUGGGGAUGGGCCCGCGGCCCAUUAGCUUGUUGGUGAGGAAAAGCUCACCAAGGCAACGAUGGGUAGCUGGUCUGAGAGGAC
This 280-nucleotide ribosomal RNA is filed under the name uncultured bacterium. RNAcentral's name for it is "partial 16S ribosomal RNA". It matches the Rfam family "Bacterial small subunit ribosomal RNA", at positions 28 to 301 of the family's 1533-position model. The record is from RNAcentral.